CCCUAGUCCUUCCCCGCCCCUCAGGGAGCCCCGCCUCCAGCUGCCACCCACUGGGAUGCCGCGCGCCCUCUCACGGCCCCCGGUUUGCUGGGAGUCUUGUCAAUCACCGCUCCCCCCCCCCCGUGCUGCUCCCUCGGCACCUCCGUACUUAGUUUACCCCGCCCACCCGGCCCCGCCUCUGCGUUUCUAAUUUCCCAUUGGGCAUCAGUGGCUACUUUCAAUUGGCAAGGUCAGCUGUCCAUCAAACACCGCCCACCAAGUGAGACCCAACCCUUUAUUACCAUUUACUUUAUUCGGCCCCGCCUCCGCUAGGUCCUACCUCCCGAACGUCAGGGACCAGCCCCCGCUACCAGCCAUAAGUAGAGCCCUCCGUCAAUCAAAUAACGCCCACCUGCGCUCCUCCUAGCAAAGCCCCGGCCCCAGCGAUUGUCUUUUCUUAUUGGUCCAACUCGUGAUCCGAACCCCCAGUCACUGGCUUUCUUGCGGGUCAGUCACUGAGCCAAUUUCCAAGUCCGUCACACCGGCUUUUUUCAAAUGAACGCGCAAAAGGCGGGGAAGUAUCUGGAAAGCGAUUGGUUCGUCCUAGAAAACGGUCAAACCCGGAGAGUCUGUACGGAUCCUUUCCGUUCUGUGAGGACCGUGCCCCCUUGUAUUUGACCUCUAAGCCUCGCGUAAAAGAAGCGCCAUAAGGGACCAACGAGCAGUCCAGCUAUAGGUGUGGACGCCUGGUCCCACCCGGAAUUGCAGGGGCUUGGCUACUGAUUGGCUAAGAAAGUCCUCCUAGGCUCUCAUUGGAGGAUCUAAACGCCUCUCUUCGGCGUGGAGACGAGAAGGGACGGCUCAGACGAGGACAAGAAGUGGGCAGGGGAGAGGCGGUUGUUUUGCUUCAGCCGCGGGUGGGGCGCACGCGAGAGUGGGAAACUGGGAAGGCCGGGCUCUGGGGAGGUGUUGCGGGGAGGGGAAAGGCCCGGAUGUUCCCUAACAAUGAAAUCAUCGCCGACCUAUCAGAGCCGCCGAGCUGGGAUACCUGCCUGACCUGUACCCCGGAGUGAGAAGAGUGGGCGGGAAAUUGGGGUGUCGGAAGAACCUGGAAAGCAACGUGAGAAAGUGGGACAGGUGUUCCCUUCAGGAGGAUUUUGUGCUAUUAGAGAUUAUUUUUAUACCAGCCCUUGACAUUUCCGUAUUUUGUUUCUCAGUCGGCAUUGAUAUUAAAACUCCCAGCCUAGUCUCUUGACA
This 1236-nucleotide non-coding RNA is filed under the name Pan troglodytes (chimpanzee). The record is from RNAcentral. Lineage: Eukaryota; Metazoa; Chordata; Mammalia; Primates; Hominidae.